GAUGAACGCUAGCGGCAGGCCUAAUACAUGCAAGCCGAACGGCAAGUCUUUUAGCAAUAGAAGACCUAGAGUGGCGUAAGGGUGCGUAACGCGUAGGUAAUCUGCCCUGAGGUCUGACAUAACCCGUCGAAAGGCGGGCUAACAUCAGAUGAUAUAUAAUCACGACAUCGUGGAAAUAUCAAAUCUUCGGAGCCUUGGGAUGAGCCUGCGUCUGAUUAGGUAGUUGGCGGAGUAAUAGCCCACCAAGCCUACGAUCAGUAGCUGGUCUGAGAGGAUGAUCAGCCACACUGGAACUGAGACACGGUCCAGACUCCUACGGGAGGCAGCAGUAAGGAAUAUUGCUCAAUGGGGGAAACCCUGAAGCAGCAACGCCGCGUGAAGGAUGAAAUACUUUUGUAUGUAAACUUCUGUAAGAUGGGAAAAAUAUUCUCCUCGGGAGAAUUGAUUGUACCAUCAGAGUAAGCCCCGGCUAACUACGUG
This 480-nucleotide ribosomal RNA is filed under the name uncultured bacterium. RNAcentral's name for it is "bacterial SSU rRNA". It matches the Rfam family "Bacterial small subunit ribosomal RNA", at positions 28 to 507 of the family's 1533-position model. The record is from RNAcentral.